GUGGGGAAUCUUAGACAAUGGGGGAAACCCUGAUCUAGCCAUGCCGCGUGAUCGAUGAAGGCCUUAGGGUUGUAAAGAUCUUUCGCUGGGGAAGAUAAUGACUGUACCCAGUAAAGAAGCCCCGGCUAACUCCGUGCCAGCAGCCGCGGUAAUACGGAGGGGGCUAGCGUUAUUCGGAAUUACUGGGCGUAAAGCGCACGUAGGCGGACCAGAAAGUUGGGGGUGAAAUCCCGGGGCUCAACCUCGGAACUGCCUUCAAAACUCCUGGUCUUGAGUUCGAGAGAGGUGAGUGGAAUUCCGAGUAUAGAGGUGAAAUUCGUAGAUAUUCGGAGGAACACCAGUGGCGAAGGCGGCUCACUGGCUCGAUACUGACGCUGAGGUGCGAAAGCGUGGGGAGCAAACAGGAUUAGAAACCCCUGUAGUCC
This 425-nucleotide ribosomal RNA is filed under the name uncultured bacterium. RNAcentral's name for it is "partial 16S ribosomal RNA". It matches the Rfam family "Bacterial small subunit ribosomal RNA", at positions 354 to 796 of the family's 1533-position model. The record is from RNAcentral.